This 1010-nucleotide ribosomal RNA is filed under the name Pediococcus ethanolidurans. Its description in RNAcentral is "bacterial SSU rRNA". It matches the Rfam family "Bacterial small subunit ribosomal RNA", at positions 491 to 1502 of the family's 1533-position model. Lineage: Bacteria; Bacillati; Bacillota; Bacilli; Lactobacillales; Lactobacillaceae. The record is from RNAcentral.
CCACGGCUAACUACGUGCCAGCAGCCGCGGUAAUACGUAGGUGGCAAGCGUUAUCCGGAUUUAUUGGGCGUAAAGCGAGCGCAGGCGGUCUUUUAAGUCUAAUGUGAAAGCCUUCGGCUUAACCGAAGAAGUGCAUUGGAAACUGGGAGACUUGAGUGCAGAAGAGGAGAGUGGAACUCCAUGUGUAGCGGUGAAAUGCGUAGAUAUAUGGAAGAACACCAGUGGCGAAGGCGGCUCUCUGGUCUGCAACUGACGCUGAGGCUCGAAAGCAUGGGUAGCGAACAGGAUUAGAUACCCUGGUAGUCCAUGCCGUAAACGAUGAAUGCUAAGUGUUGGAGGGUUUCCGCCCUUCAGUGCUGCAGCUAACGCAUUAAGCAUUCCGCCUGGGGAGUACGACCGCAAGGUUGAAACUCAAAAGAAUUGACGGGGGCCCGCACAAGCGGUGGAGCAUGUGGUUUAAUUCGAAGCUACGCGAAGAACCUUACCAGGUCUUGACAUCUUCUGCUAACCUAAGAGAUUAGGCGUUCCCUUCGGGGACGGAAUGACAGGUGGUGCAUGGUUGUCGUCAGCUCGUGUCGUGAGAUGUUGGGUUAAGUCCCGCAACGAGCGCAACCCUUAUUAUUAGUUGCCAGCAUUAAGUUGGGCACUCUAGUGAGACUGCCGGUGACAAACCGGAGGAAGGUGGGGACGACGUCAAAUCAUCAUGCCCCUUAUGACCUGGGCUACACACGUGCUACAAUGGACGGUACAACGAGUUGCGAGACCGCGAGGUUUAGCUAAUCUCUUAAAACCGUUCUCAGUUCGGACUGCAGGCUGCAACUCGCCUGCACGAAGUUGGAAUCGCUAGUAAUCGCGGAUCAGCAUGCCGCGGUGAAUACGUUCCCGGGCCUUGUACACACCGCCCGUCACACCAUGAGAGUUUGUAACACCCAAAGCCGGUGGAGUAACCUUCGGGAGCUAGCCGUCUAAGGUGGGACAGAUGAUUGGGGUGAAGUCGUACAAGACUACCG